AUCUCCCUGUGCAAAAGCAGGGAUAACCACAUAAGACGAGAAGACCCUGUGGANCUUCAAAAACAGCAACCACCCCAAUAUACAUCCACCCCCAACCCGGGCUCACUUAUUCAUAAAGCACUGGUUUGCAUUUUUUCGGUUGGGGCGACCUUGGAGCAAAACAGAACCUCCAAAAACUAGACCAUAACUCUAGACUGAGAGCGACCCCUCAACGUGCUAACAGCACCCAGACCCAAUACAAUUGAUCAAUGGACCAAGCUACCCCAGGGAUAACAGCGCAAUCUCCUCCGAGAGUCCAUAUCGAAGGGGAGGUUUACGACCUCGAUGUUGGAUCAGGACAUCCUAGUGGUGCAGCAGCUACUAAGGGUUCGUUUGUUCAACGAUUAACAGUCCUACGUGAUCUGAGUUCAGACCGGAGCAAUCCAGGUCGGUUUCUAUCUAUGAUGAACUCUUCCUCGUACGAAAGGAUCGGAAAAGUGAGGCCAAUACCACAAGCAAGCCUUCGCCUUAAGUAAUGAAGUCAACUCAAUUACAAAAGGCUAUCACUCCACACCACGUCCAAGAAAAGG
RNAcentral lists this ribosomal RNA (569 nucleotides) under Calendulauda erythrochlamys. RNAcentral describes it as "Calendulauda erythroclamys partial 16S ribosomal RNA". It matches the Rfam family "Bacterial large subunit ribosomal RNA", at positions 2048 to 2849 of the family's 2925-position model. The record is from RNAcentral. Lineage: Eukaryota; Metazoa; Chordata; Aves; Passeriformes; Alaudidae.